Arvicanthis niloticus (Nile rat) is the source of this 378-nucleotide non-coding RNA. NCBI's taxonomy places the organism in Eukaryota, Metazoa, Chordata, Mammalia, Rodentia, Muridae. The record is from the annotation of a RefSeq genome assembly.
AUGGACUGGAUUUGGAUCAUGCUGUAUCUGCUGGCAGCAGCUACUAGUAUCCACUCCCAGGUUCAUCUCCAACAACCUAGUUCUGAACUAAAGAGUCCUGGAUCUUCAGUAAAGCUGUCAUGCAAGGAUUUUGACUCAAAUGUCUUUCCUAUUGCUUAUAUGAGUUGGGUAAGACAGAAGCCUGGGCAUGGGUUUGAAUGGAUUGGAGACAUACUCCCAAGUAUUGGUAGAACAAUCUAUGGAGAGAAGUUUGAGAACAGAGCCACACUGGAUGCAGACACAUCCUUCAACACUGCCUACUUGGAGCUCAGCAGUCUGACAUCUGAGGACUCUGCAGUCUAUUACUGUGCAAGGCACAGUGUAACAGCUAAUAUCUAG